AUUGAACGCUGGCGGCAUGCCUAACACAUGCAAGUCGAACGGAAACAGGACGCUGUGAUCUCUUCGGAGUGAACUUGUCGCUGUCGAGUGGCGGACGGGUGAGUAAUGCAUAGGAAAUUGCCUUGAAGUGGGGGAUAGCCCGGAGAAAUCCGGAUUAAUACCGCAUAUGUUCUACGGAACAAAGUGGGCCUCUGAUUUAAGCUCAUGCUUUGAGAUAUGCCUAUGUCGGAUUAGCUUGUUGGUGGGGUAAAAGCCUACCAAGGCGACGAUCCGUAGCUGGUUUGAGAGGAUGAUCAGCCACACUGGGACUGAGACACGGCCCANACUCCUACGGGAGGCAGCAGUGGGGAAUAUUGGACAAUGGGCGCAAGCCUGAUCCAGCAAUGCCGCGUGUGUGAAGAAGGCCUGCGGGUUGUAAAGCACUUUUAUCGGGAAAGAAAUCCUUAAGGUUAAUAACCUUGA
RNAcentral lists this ribosomal RNA (462 nucleotides) under uncultured bacterium. RNAcentral describes it as "bacterial SSU rRNA". It matches the Rfam family "Bacterial small subunit ribosomal RNA", at positions 30 to 472 of the family's 1533-position model. The record is from RNAcentral.